AGUUGACACCUAAGUUAACAGUAUUGUGACCAGCAGAAUAAUGACCCCCCAGGAUGUCCCUGAUGCAAUUUGCGGAACUUAGGACUCUCACCCUGUUUCCUGCACAGGACCCAGUAUGGUUCUUAUUUGAAUUACGGCAAAUUUGAAGACAUUGGUGGUCAUGCAGACUUCCCAAGAGGCAAGGGGGCCUGGCCACUCCAUGCAGGACCCCAGGACUGGGAUGCCCAUAUUGUGACUCAACCUGCUCACUCCCCAGGGCAAGGAUCUACCCUUGUGGACCUUCUCCUUGCAGAUCCCACCAAGGAGCCCAGGAGCUGACCCAGGAAACCCCCAAACACCUGACAGGCCUCAGGAUCCCUUUACUGAAAGCUCCUUCAGAGGCAGACCCCAUAUGUCCUCUGACCUCGAGAAUCAACUGAACUGCAUUUCUCCCCACUCCUGACCUGGCAUAAAGGAGACAGAAUUGGAAUAAGGAGGGAA
This is a long non-coding RNA of Aethalodelphis obliquidens (Pacific white-sided dolphin), 480 nucleotides long. RefSeq lists it as uncharacterized. The transcript has 4 exons. The record is from RefSeq and is a predicted model, not a curated record. Lineage: Eukaryota; Metazoa; Chordata; Mammalia; Artiodactyla; Delphinidae.